GUGCAGUUUGCGAUCUCUUGCCCAGAAUAAAACCUGCAAGGCACAUUUUAGUCAGCAAAAGCUGUUUUGAAAUGUAAAAAUUGAUUAAGAACAGACUGUGCUCAGGAGGUCUCUCUCAGGGUCACGCGGACGUGUGGGACUCGAUGCAGAAAAACUUUAUUGCUGGAUAGAGCGUUGUAUUGUGUAUCAUCGGAGCUGUAGCCAAAGACUUCUUCAACGGCAAGAUAAAGAUGGAAAUUGUGAACCAGAUCAAGGAAGUCGAGAGGAUGGGAAAAAAGAACAUAUUGUUUUCCUCCUCAAUCAAAGCCCCGCGUUCUUCGACAAAGCACGCACUGAAAAUGCUUUUAAAGACUUUCCUGAAAGGUCCCUUCAGAAGAAAUCUCUAAAUCAUGUAGAAAAAAAUGACGCAGUCAGAAACUUGGUGCAUCCAGAAAAGGGUAAAGAUGGUUUAAAAUUAUUUGUUUUAUGAGAUGC
RNAcentral lists this long non-coding RNA (474 nucleotides) under Sinocyclocheilus anshuiensis. Its description in RNAcentral is "lncRNA (ENSSANG00000042565.1)". The record is from RNAcentral. Lineage: Eukaryota; Metazoa; Chordata; Actinopteri; Cypriniformes; Cyprinidae.